Pelobates cultripes (western spadefoot toad) is the source of this 345-nucleotide non-coding RNA. Lineage: Eukaryota; Metazoa; Chordata; Amphibia; Anura; Pelobatidae. The record is from the annotation of a GenBank genome assembly.
GGGACAAGAAACCACUUAUGCCUAUUGGAUUGAGCAAUCUGUAGUUGCUCCAUCAAAUGUGAGUAUGUGUUCAUCACAUUACUUGUAUUUUAACUCCACAGUUACACACUAUUGCGUUUUUUCUUUUUCUUCUAUGUUCACACAUGGAGAGGCCCAAGCACCAGUUAUAUCGUAGAGUGGGGUUCAUAUCACACCAAGCCAUAUCCAGGGAGCCGCUGUACUGGCUUCAAAAUAUGUGAGUGCAAUAUUUUACUCUGUUUUUAUCUCUGCUUUGGUUUGACAUACACACCAUAUUGUUUUUUUUAUAUAUAUAUUUCUCUUCUAUAUGAGGAUACUGCUGCAGAG